Molecule: long non-coding RNA, 504 nt
Filed under: Elaeis guineensis (African oil palm)
Lineage: Eukaryota; Viridiplantae; Streptophyta; Magnoliopsida; Arecales; Arecaceae
Description: long non-coding RNA (EGUI_LNC068261)
Source: RNAcentral
CAACUAUACUCAAUUAGGUCAUCUGAUCAGCCGAGUAGGAGAUUUGUGGGGCAAUGCAUCCAUAGACAAAGUCAUAGGAAGAUGUCGACUAGCCUGAUGAAUAUUGAGCAAAAGAGAGAUGAUACUCUCCUUCUUCACUACCUCAAGCUCAAAGAAGGUCUCACAAGCUAUCGGCCCACAUUGUCCAUAUAGUCUCGAAGGGUGAUUAUUGUAUAAGUAGAGGAAGGGUGAACCAAUUAGACUUUAAAAACUUAAUUAUAAAGUAAGUGAAGAAAGUUGAACUUAGUCGAUAUGGCAACAUGAGUGGAAAAUGUGCCAAGCGUAAGGCCUACAUACCCCCUAACUUGGCUUGGUCAGGGAGGGGAAAACUAGCUUUAAUGAUGAUGUUCACCACGAAGGCAAUUAACAAGCCAAGCAUCUUGACCAGAUAUUCAUCCACUGAGUUUUCGUGCUCUCGUUAGCUUGAGCUUAGGGCCUUAAGCUCAGCUCCUAAUUACACACCUG